AUUGGAUGUGUUGACACAUACUUGUAAUUCUCACUAAAGGGAGGCUGAGACUGAUGGAUUGCUUAAGUGUAGGAUUUCUGAACUGCAGUAGGAAUAAAGUCAAUCAAGUGUCUGCACUAAGUUUGGCACCAAUAUGAUGAUACCCCUCUCCUGUGGGAAGGACUACCAGAAUGUGUAAGAAGGGGUGAACUGGCCCAGGUUGGAAAUGCUGCCAAUCAAAGCUUUUUUGCUGAUCAGUAGUGAGAUUAGUAAGUGGCUGCUGCACUUCUGGCCUGGGCUGAGAUAGGGAGGCCCAGUCUCAA
Molecule: signal recognition particle RNA, 302 nt
Filed under: Vombatus ursinus (common wombat)
Lineage: Eukaryota; Metazoa; Chordata; Mammalia; Diprotodontia; Vombatidae
Description: Metazoan signal recognition particle RNA (ENSVURG00010014447.1)
Rfam family: Metazoan signal recognition particle RNA
About the family: The signal recognition particle (SRP) is a universally conserved ribonucleoprotein. It is involved in the co-translational targeting of proteins to membranes.
Source: Rfam by way of RNAcentral